GCUCCGGUAGCAUCGUGGUUAGAGCGUCCGCCUCGGAUGCGCGAGGUUGUGGGUUCGAUCCCCAGUCGAGUCA
Non-coding RNA from Potamilus streckersoni, 73 nucleotides. Lineage: Eukaryota; Metazoa; Mollusca; Bivalvia; Unionida; Unionidae. The record is from the annotation of a GenBank genome assembly.